CUGUAUAAGGUAUGAUGGUAGAUCCUUACGGGUCGAAAGAGCUUGCAAUACAUCUUGAGUCAAGGGGGAAGAACCGGUGGCAGAGGAGAUGGGUAAAAACUGUGUAGUGGUUAUGACUUCAAGGUUCAUUUUACGGUGAGGCAAAUAUUUUGAGAGAUGCCCUCAACCGGAAACCACUUGACGGCUAUCCCAUCCCUUAGUAUAGUAAGAAGAAGGUCAGUAGUCAAGGAAUGAGAAGAAUCAGAACUGCUGUGAGUCAGCAGGAGAGUUA
RNAcentral lists this long non-coding RNA (271 nucleotides) under Manihot esculenta (cassava). Its description in RNAcentral is "long non-coding RNA (MESC_LNC009200)". The record is from RNAcentral. Lineage: Eukaryota; Viridiplantae; Streptophyta; Magnoliopsida; Malpighiales; Euphorbiaceae.